AACGAACGCUGGCGGCAUGCCUAACACAUGCAAGUCGAACGAGACCUUCGGGUCUAGUGGCGCACGGGUGCGUAACGCGUGGGAACCUGCCCUUAGGUUCGGAAUAACUCCCCGAAAGGGGUGCUAAUACCGGAUAAUGUCUUCGGACCAAAGAUUUAUCGCCUUUGGAUGGGCCCGCGUUGGAUUAGCUAGUUGGUAGGGUAAAAGCCUACCAAGGCGACGAUCCAUAGCUGGUCUGAGAGGAUGAUCAGCCACACUGGGACUGAGACACGGCCCAGACUCCUACGGGAGGCAGCAGUGGGUAAUAUUGGACAAUGGCCGAAAGCCUGAUCCAGCAAGGCCGCUUGAGUUAUGAAGUCCUGAGGGUUGUAAAGCUCUUUUACCCGGGAUGAUAAUGACAGUACCGGAAGAAUAAGCCCCGGCUAACUCCGUG
This 433-nucleotide ribosomal RNA is filed under the name uncultured bacterium. RNAcentral's name for it is "partial 16S ribosomal RNA". It matches the Rfam family "Bacterial small subunit ribosomal RNA", at positions 29 to 507 of the family's 1533-position model. The record is from RNAcentral.